ACAAAUGAAGAAGAGAAAAUAGCAGAGAAUCUGUUUGGAUGGUGUUUGUUUUCCUUUUCUCUGUUUUCUAUUUUUCUUGGUUGGGUUUUAAAGCUUGGUGUUCUCUUGAAGAAGGGAACGUCAAGCUGAGGAAAAAUGAGGGGGUUAAGGGGGUUUUUAUAUGAGAAGGGAAGUGUUUGAGAGGAUGGUAACGGGUAAUGGGCA
This 204-nucleotide long non-coding RNA is filed under the name Ricinus communis (castor bean). RNAcentral describes it as "long non-coding RNA (RCOM_LNC002203)". Lineage: Eukaryota; Viridiplantae; Streptophyta; Magnoliopsida; Malpighiales; Euphorbiaceae. The record is from RNAcentral.